UCCCUGAUGGCUCAGAUGGUAAAGUGUCUGCCUGCAAUGCGGGGGACCCAGGUUUGAUUCCUGGGUUGGGAA
Molecule: transfer RNA, 72 nt
Organism: Ovis aries (sheep)
Lineage: Eukaryota; Metazoa; Chordata; Mammalia; Artiodactyla; Bovidae
Rfam family: tRNA
About the family: Transfer RNA (tRNA) molecules are approximately 80 nucleotides in length.
Source: Rfam